RNAcentral lists this ribosomal RNA (374 nucleotides) under uncultured bacterium. RNAcentral describes it as "bacterial SSU rRNA". It matches the Rfam family "Bacterial small subunit ribosomal RNA", at positions 521 to 895 of the family's 1533-position model. The record is from RNAcentral.
UAAUACGAAGGGGGCUAGCGUUGCUCGGAAUUACUGGGCGUAAAGGGCGCGUAGGCGGACAGUUUAGUCAGAGGUGAAAGCCCAGGGCUCAACCUUGGAAUUGCCUUUGAUACUGACUGUCUUGAGUUCGGGAGAGGUGAGUGGAAUGCCGAGUGUAGAGGUGAAAUUCGUAGAUAUUCGGCGGAACACCAGUGGCGAAGGCGACUCACUGGCCCGAUACUGACGCUGAGGCGCGAAAGCGUGGGGAGCAAACAGGAUUAGAUACCCUGGUAGUCCACGCUGUAAACGAUGAGUGCUAGUUGUCGGCAUGCAUGCAUGUCGGUGACGCAGCUAACGCAUUAAGCACUCCGCCUGGGGAGUACGGUCGCAAGAUU